AUAGAUGUCGUUCUUUUACCGCCUCUUAACUGUUACUCUUGAUUAAGAUUUUUUUUCAUCAACAAUCAAGAACCUUAAUCAUUUUGAUCUGGUCAUCAUAGUUUCGCUGAAUUUUAAUUUGGACUUGUGUAAUUAAAUCUCGCAAAGGUAUGUUUCCAUUUUGUCAAUUCUUAUGGUUGGAGGAGAUUUUGUAUUCGGCUUGAGAUCGGUUAUUUUGCUGUAUCACCAUUUCAUCUUGAUCAUGUGUUUCCAACAUCAAUUGACAUUCACUCUUCAAGCUUAGGCUUUAAUUACUAUCUCAUUGAGACUGAAUUGCUUUUGAUUGAAUUGAUUCUUUGAUUCUUUUAAUCCAACAUCUUCAACUUAAUGGUCACUAUUAUUGUUUACAAUUGAUCUAUUCUGUGAUGAUCAAACUAACUCUUCAUCUUUUUCCCCUUGAUAGUGAAUAUUUAUCAUCUGUGUCUUUAGAAUCUACUUUUCAUCAGCACUUUAUUUUUUUCUAUCUCUAUCUCAUCUUAAUGAUUACAGUUUUUCAUCAUGACAUUAUCUUAGUUAAAUCAAUUAAAAAUGAAUAAAUGAUUAGUUUAAUUG
Long non-coding RNA from Panonychus citri (citrus red mite), 591 nucleotides. RefSeq lists it as uncharacterized. The transcript has 2 exons. Lineage: Eukaryota; Metazoa; Arthropoda; Arachnida; Trombidiformes; Tetranychidae. The record is from RefSeq and is a predicted model, not a curated record.